UGCACAGAGCAGCAGGUGAACAGCCCUGUGGAGCCCCCGCCCCGCCAUGCAGCAACUGCUCCAGCCUCACAGCUGGCUCCCUCAGGAAGGCCUUCACUGGCAUUCCUACAUCCCUGGAGGAGGGACCUGCAGUGGCUCCACCACACUGAGUAGACCAUGCCGGAGGACACGCCAUGAAAGGAUAUUUCUGUGGCGUUUAACAGUGUGUCCUGUAUUUCACCUGACAACCCCAAAAUGGAACUCAGUCUCAGCGUGGUGGCUAAAAGCAAAGCUUCUGGAGCCAGACUUCUCAGAGUCGGGAUUCUGGUCUUCUGUGUGACCUUG
This is a long non-coding RNA of Homo sapiens (human), 324 nucleotides long. RefSeq lists it as uncharacterized. The transcript is spliced from 3 exons. The record is from RefSeq and is a predicted model, not a curated record. NCBI's taxonomy places the organism in Eukaryota, Metazoa, Chordata, Mammalia, Primates, Hominidae.